GCUUCCGUAGCUCAGUUGGUUAGAGCUUCGUACUAAUACUUGCUACCACAAGUCUUGGUAAUGCGAAGGUCGCAGGUUCAAGCCCUGCCGGGAGCA
Molecule: non-coding RNA, 96 nt
Organism: Trichoderma citrinoviride
Lineage: Eukaryota; Fungi; Ascomycota; Sordariomycetes; Hypocreales; Hypocreaceae
Source: the annotation of a RefSeq genome assembly